CUUCGUCUUUAAUAGUUAUGCAUUGACGUUUGAAGGUAAAUUCUCUCUUAAACCCUAAUCCUCUUCCCUCUCCACCAAUAGUUCGUUGCAAGAAACGAUGUUCGAAACGCUACAUCCAGGUAAUUAGCCUUUGAUUUUCAUAUUUGAACUAAGCUACAAUCGAUUUGGGUGUAAUUUCUUUUCUGUAAUUGGUUUUGGAGUCGCGAUUGGUAUUUUGAAAGGAACUUUUGCCCCGUCGAUUACUUUCGCUUCACAUUCCUCGAAUGAUUGUCGUCUUCGUCAUAGCCUAGAAAAUGAAAGAUGGGUUUUAAUGGCCUUUUGAAUAAAGAUAUGAUUGAAACCAAGAAGGAUAAAGCGAUUUUCCAUAAAGUCAAUAAGGAUCUUCUAAUCUAUGGACGAAGGUGAGGACAUUCUAUAACAAGCACCAGGUUUCAUUGAUAAGCAAGGACUUACUUAUGGCAACAUCCUUUCCAUGUACAAAGGUGAUGAUUAUAAGCUUCAUGCUGCUGGGAGAGAGUAUAUAGAUUUUUACUUUCCAUGUGAAGAUGUUGGGGUCAUGUAUGCUAUUUUUAGUUGAGAUACAAAAUGCAUGUUAUGUCCCUUCUGAGGUAUCUAUAAAAGAAAUGAAAAACAAGACAAAAAGUCAAGACAGUAACCUGGGUUGUUUUUUAUGAGAUGAGGGGCAUUUACGUCUUUUGCGCAAAUGAAAGAUUAAGAAUGGAAAAUCCCGGUGAUUGGAAGGCUAGGCAUGAGAUAUGGGUUAUUACAACUACCUUCACUGGCAGAAGUUUUUACCAAAAAAUCUGAAAUUUUAGCAUUUUUUGACCCAAUGGAAUUAUUGUUGAUCAAGAUUCACUAUGGUUGGUAGUGUUGGUCCUUCCUUCCAUGAAUAGUGUGUAACAACUUCAAAAAUAGAUACUAACGAUUCAUUCUUGGUGGUUUGUUGGUAAUUUGGAUAAAAGUACAGAGCAACACCUUGGGCUUGGAGUUAAAUGAAUGAAUCUGGUUAAUUUGUCCCCUUAGCUUUGUAGCCUUCUUUACAUUUGAUUUUGUAAAAGUUUCCAAUAUUUUAGCUCCAUUUCAAAGCUCUACACACUUGAAGUUCUAUGAUUGUGUUACUUUUAUUUGGUAAUUAGUCAUAGUAAAUAUUCUGUUGUUUGA
Lactuca sativa (garden lettuce) is the source of this 1161-nucleotide non-coding RNA. The record is from RefSeq and is a predicted model, not a curated record. NCBI's taxonomy places the organism in Eukaryota, Viridiplantae, Streptophyta, Magnoliopsida, Asterales, Asteraceae.